Molecule: long non-coding RNA, 3531 nt
Organism: Sarcophilus harrisii (Tasmanian devil)
Lineage: Eukaryota; Metazoa; Chordata; Mammalia; Dasyuromorphia; Dasyuridae
Source: Ensembl
UUCUACUGUCUGUCUCUCUUCCCUCCCUCCCUCUCUCUUCUUCUCUUUCUUCCUUCCUCCGCCCCUCUCUCUCUUCUUUGUAUCUCUCUCUGUCUCUGUCUCUCUCUCUUCCUCUCUCUUCUACUCUUUCUCCCACUCUUUCUUCCUCUCUCCCACUCUCUCUCUCUCUCUUCCUCUUUUCUACUAUUUUUCUCUUUCUUCCUUUCUCUCUUCCUCUAUCCUCCUCUCCCUUUAUUUUUUCUCUCUUCCUCUGUCUGUCUUUAUCCCCUUUUGUGUUGCUCCCUCUUCCUCUCUCUCUUCCACUAUCUCUUUUUCUCUCUCCCUCUCUCUUUCCCUCCUUCACAUACUCUGUUUCUCUUCCUCUCUCUUUCUCCCUCUCUUCAUUUCCCUCUCCCUCUCCCCCUUUACCCUUUUCUAUAUAUAACACAGGUCCUCUCUCUCUUCCCUCUCUACAGCCUUUUCUUUUCUCUCUUCCCUCUCCACUCUUUCUCUCUUCCCUCUUUCCACGUGCUCUCAGUUUUGGUUCUUUCUCUCUCUCCCCCCCUCUCUCCCUUCUCCCUCCUCUCUCUUUUCCUCUGCUCUCUCUUCCUCUGUUUCCCUCUCUCUUGUUCUUUUUCUCUCUUCCUCUUUCAUUCUUUCCUUGCUUUUCACUCUCUUCCUCCCUCUCUCCUCUCUCUUCUCUCUUGUUUCUCUUUUCGUUUUCUACUCUUUAUUUUUUCUCUCUUCCUCUCUCUCCCUCUCUCCCGCUCUCUUCUACUCUCUAUUUCUCUCUCUUCCUCUCUUUCCUCUUUUUCUCUCUCUCUUCCUCUGUUUUCUCUCUUCUCCUCUUUCUUCCACUCUCUAUUUUUCUUUUACUUCCACUCUAUUUUUAUCUCUCUCUUCUUCUUUUUCUCUCUCUUCCUCUCUUCUUUUUUUUCUUUCCUCCCUCUCUCUCUUCCACUCUCUUUUCCCUUUUUCUCUCUUACUCUCUAUCCCCCUCUCUCUUUACCUCUCCUCCUCUCUUUUUCUCUGUCUCUCUUCCUCUCUCUUUUUCUCACUCUCUCUUCUUCUCUUUUUCUCCCAAUCUCCUCUCUCUCUUGUUCUUUUUCUCUCUCUUCCUCGCUUUUCCUCUCUUCUCCCUCUUUCUCCCCACCUCUCUCCCUUUUCUUGCUUUCUUUUGCUCUCUCUUUUCCUUUUUCCUCCUCUUCCCCUCUGUCUUCCACUCUUUUUUCUCUCUCCCUCUUUCUCUUUUUUCCUCUCUCCCUCUCUCUCUCUCUCUCUCUUUUCCACUCUAUUUUUUCUUCUCUCUUUCUCUCAUUGUCUCUUCCUAUCUUCCACUGUCUCUGUCUCUUCCACUUUAUUUCUCUCUCUCUCACUCUUUCUGUCCUCCUCUCAUCAUUUUUCUCCUCCUCUCUUUCUCUCUCUAUUCCACUCUCUUCCUCUCUCCUCCUGUCUACAUUUCUCUCCUCCUCUUUUUCUCCCUCUCUCGCCCUCUCUUUUCUUUCUCUCUCUUCCGCUCUAUUUUUCUCUUUCCUCCUCACUUUCUUCCUCUCUCUCUUUCCACCGCUUUUCCUCUCUCUCCUCUCGCUCUUCCUUUUUCUCUCUUACUUCUCUUUUUUCUCUCUCCAACUCCUUCUUUCCCUUUGUCUCUCUCUCCCCUGUGUGUCUCUCUCCCUCUCAUCCACUCUUGACUUUCUCUUUUUUUCCCUCUCCCACCGCUCUCUCUCCUUUUUCCCCUUCUCUCCCACUCUUGUUCCCUCCCCCCUCUCUUUCUUUGUCUAUUUUUUUCUCUCUUCCUCUAUCUCUUCCCUCCUCUCUGUCUCUUCCUCUCUUUCCUCUUCUCUCUCCCCCUCUCUUUCUCCAUCUCUUUUUCUCUUUUCUUCUCUCUCUUCAACUCUCUUCUCCCCCGCUCCUGCUUCUUCUUCUCCUUCUGCCUCUCUUUUUCCCCUCUCUCUUCACUUCCCUCGCCCCCUCUUUUACUCUCUACUUUUGUCUCUCUUUCUUCCUCUCUUGUCCCCUCUCUUCCUGUCUUCUCCCUCUCUUUCUCCUUCUCCCUCUCUCUUUUCCUCAUUUUUCCCUUUAUCUUUCUGUCUCUUCCACUCCUUGUACUCUUUUUUAAUCUCCCGUUCUCAUUUUCUCCCUCUCUCUCUUUACCAGGUUCUAUUUCUCUCUCGUUCCUUCUUUCUCUCUUCUGCUUCUCUCUUUCUCUGUCUUUUCCACUCCAUUUUCUCGUGCUCUCUUCCUCUACUUCAUCCUCUCUCUCUCUCCUCCACUGUCUAUUUCUAUCUCUCUCUUCUCCACUAUUUCUCUCUCUCACGCUUCUCCACUAUCUGUUUCUCUCUCUCUCUCUAUCCAUGGUCUAUUUCUCUCUCUAUUUUUUCCACUGUCUGUGUCUCUUUCUCUCUUCUCAGCACAAUUUCUCUCAUUCUCCUCUCCACUGUCUGUCUCUUUCUCUCUUCUCCACUGUCUAUUUCCAUCUCUCUCUCUCUUCUCAUAUCUGUUCUCUCUCUCUCUAUCCAUAUCUGUUUCUCUCUAUUUUUUCCACUGUCUGUGUCUCUUUCUCUCUUCUCAACUGUCAAUUUCUCUCCUCCUCUCCACUGUCUGUCUUGUUCUCUCUUCUCCACUGUCUAUUUCUAUCUCUAUCCCUCUUCUCCACUGUCUCUGUCUCUCUCUCUCUCUCUCUCUUUUCCAGUCUAUUUUUUUAUCUCUCUCUUCUCCACUAUUUCUCUCUUUCUCUUUUCCACUGUCUGUAUCUCUCUCUCUCCCCUCUACACUCUCUGUCACUCUCUCUCUUCCCCACAAUCUAUUUCUCUCUCUGUCUCUUUUCUACUGUCUGUCUCUCUCUCUUCUUCACUCUCUGUUUCUCUCUCUUCUCCACCAUUUCUCUCUCUCUUUCCCACUGUCUGUGUCUCUCUCUCUUCUUCACUGUCUGAGUCUCUCUCUCUCUUUUCCACUGUCUAUUUCUCUCUCUCUCUCUCUCUUUUUGUAGACUGUCUUGUAUUGUCUCUCUCAGAUUUGACUGUUUCUCUCUCCUCUCUUCUCAGUUAUCUGUUUCUGUCUCUCUCUCUCUUCUCCACUGUCUGGCUACUUUCUGUCUCUCUCUCUUCUCCACUGUCUGUUUCUAUCUCUAUCCCUCUACUCCACUGUCUCUCUCUCUCUUUUCCACUAUUUCUCUCUCUCUCUCUUCUCCACUGUCUAUUUUUCUCUCUCUCUCUUCUCCACUAUCUCUCUCUCUCUCUUUUCCAUUGUCUUUAUCUCUCUCUCUUCUCCUUUCAUGUUUGUCUCCCUCUCUUUUCCAUGUCUUGUGUCCUCUUUCUCUCCUCCUCUUUCACCAAUAACUGUUCUCUCUCUCUCUCUCGUUUCCACUGUCUUUCUGUGUCAGCUCUCCUCUUCUCCACUGUUGUCUCACUCUCAGCUUUCACUUUCAUCUGUGUCCCUCUCUCUCUCUCUCUUCUAUACUAUUUCUCUCUCUCUCUCAUUUCCACUGUCUGUAUCUCGCUUUCUCUCUCUUCUCCACUAUCUAUGUCAAUCUCUCUCUUCUCCACUAUCUAA